GAGUUUGAUCCUGGCUCAGGAUGAACGCUAGCGGCAGGCCUAACACAUGCAAGUCGAGGGGCAGCAUGGCGUAGCGAUACGCUGAUGGCGACCGGCGCACGGGUGCGUAACGCGUAUGCAACCUGUCCGGCGCAGGGGGGUAGCCCGUCGAAAGGCGGGGUAAUCCCGCAUGAACCGGUAUUCCCGCGUGGGGGUGCCGGCAAAGUGGAGACGCGGGGCCGGAGGGGCAUGCGUGCCAUUAGCUGGCUGGUGGGGUAACGGCCCACCAGGGCGAUGAUGGCUAGGGGGUCUGAGAGGAUGGUCCCCCACACUGGUACUGAGACACGGACCAGACUCCCACGGGAGGCAGCAGUGAGGAAUAUUGGUCAAUGGGCGGAAGCCUGAACCAGCCAUGCCGCGUGCAGGAAGGAGGCCCUACGGGUUGUAAACUGCUUUUACCCGGGAAGAAACCGCCCCCUGUGGGGGGCGUUGCCGGUACCGGGGGAAAAAGGAUCGGCUAACUCCGUGCCAGCAGCCGCGGUAAUACGGAGGAUCCGGGCGUUAUCCGGAAUUACUGGGUUUAAAGGGUGCGUAGGCGGGGCUUUAAGCCGGCGGUGAAAUGCAGCGGCUCAACCGCUGGAAUGCCGUUGGGACUGGGGCUCUUGGAUACGGUCGGGGCGGGUGGAACUCGUGGUGUAGCGGUGAAAUGCAUAGAUAUCACGAGGAACGCCGGUAGCGAAGGCAGCUCGCCGGGCCGGUAUUGACGCUGAGGCACGNAAGCGUGGGGAUCGAACAGGAUUAGAUACCCUGGUAGUCCACGCCGUAAACGAUGAUGGGCUGGGUGUUGGCGAUAGACGGUCAGCGGCUGAGGGAAACAUUUAAGCAUCCACCUGGGGAGUAC
This 880-nucleotide ribosomal RNA is filed under the name uncultured bacterium. RNAcentral's name for it is "bacterial SSU rRNA". It matches the Rfam family "Bacterial small subunit ribosomal RNA", at positions 9 to 883 of the family's 1533-position model. The record is from RNAcentral.